GAUGAACGCUGGCGGCGUGCCUAAUAUAUGCAAGUCGAGCGAACGGACGAGAAGCUUGCUUCUCUGAUGUUAGCGGCGGACGGGUGAGUAACACGUGGAUAACCUACCUAUAAGACUGGGAUAACUUCGGGAAACCGGAGCUAAUACCGGAUAAUAUUUUGAACCGCAUGGUUCAAAAGUGAAAGACGGUCCUGCUGUCACUUAUAGAUGGAUCCGCGCUGCAUUAGCUAGUUGGUAAGGUAACGGCUUACCAAGGCAACGAUGCAUAGCCGACCUGAGAGGGUGAUCGGCCACACUGGAACUGAGACACGGUCCAGACUCCUACGGGAGGCAGCAGUAGGGAAUCUUCCGCAAUGGGCGAAAGCCUGACGGAGCAACGCCGCGUGAGUGAUGAAGGUCUUCGGAUCGUAAAACUCUGUUAUUAGGGAAGAACAUAUGUGUAAGUAACUGUGCACAUCUUGACGGUACCUAAUCAGAAAGCCACGGCUAACUACGUG
This 497-nucleotide ribosomal RNA is filed under the name uncultured bacterium. RNAcentral describes it as "partial 16S ribosomal RNA". It matches the Rfam family "Bacterial small subunit ribosomal RNA", at positions 28 to 507 of the family's 1533-position model. The record is from RNAcentral.